Molecule: long non-coding RNA, 3024 nt
Organism: Heterocephalus glaber (naked mole-rat)
Lineage: Eukaryota; Metazoa; Chordata; Mammalia; Rodentia; Bathyergidae
Source: Ensembl
CCCCGACACACACUUGGCGCGCAUCUCAUGCACCCAGGGCUCGCCUCAUGGGGGGCGGAGCCGGGUCUUCCUCAUCUCCUCCAACAGAUUCUGUGCUGCGGGAACUGGGAGCCCACGCUGCUCAGGAGCUGGGAAGCCACGGAGCCGCCGACUCGGGCCUUGCCUGGACGCCGUGAGAGCCCGGAAGCCCGGCUCGUCCUGCGGAGCCGGCUGAGGGCCAAACACCCCCGCCUCCCAAGUCAAGGAGGCCAAGGCUCAGAAAGGAAAAGAACAAGAGCAGAGCCAUCCAACUGGGGCAGGCUUGGAAUGGACAGAACCAUUUGGUUUGGUUUCAAGACUAAUACCCUUAGCCACCGUUCUUCCCUGCCUCCAAGUGACACCCCCAAAGAACUGUCCUGGCACCACCUCCUGGGGAGCAGCAGCCCAUCCCUCAUCGGCAGCUCCAACCGUCCACAGAAAGGGGGGAGAACAGUAAGUGGGAAGUGUGGUCAGAAACUAUGGCGUAGUGUUUCAGUUAGAAAAAUGUGUUACAGUGAAAAACACAUGAGCAUGAAUGCCCCUCAAAACCCUCGCCCUCCCUUCCAGCAGCACACGCAUGCAUCUUUCUUGCGCACUUUCUGGAGCAGCUCUGGAGGUCUUCUUUCACGAGUAUCUUUAGUUGUGCUGUCAUGACUGCUUUUAUGUCCUGAAUCGAUUCAAAACAUUACCUUUUGUUGUCAUUCGAUUUAGGGAAGAGCCGGAAGUCUCACGGUGGCAGAUCCUGUGAAUAUGGAUGAGGACACAGUGGCAUGUUUACAUGAGCUGCCUUUCCUUUGGAAGACACUUGGCAACAUCAUGUACCAUAUUUUUGAUCAUACCUCAUAAAGACAUGCAGGAAGAGAGGACUUCCAGAAGAGAUUUAGAAAGUGGCAGAAGGAUAGGCUAAGGAGGGAGGAGGAUUAUGAGGGGGACUCAUGGGAAAUGUGUCUUUUUCUGUAAUAAUUGAAAACAACUGUAACAUUCAUUGCCUAGUUCAGUCACACCUCAUGUGCUGUUUUCUCCUCCGCACUGACUUUCACAUCCCCAUGCCCACUGUUCCUUCACCUUCAAGGGACUCAGGGGAGGCUCCUGGGCAGGGGAUUUAUACAGGGUCAGGUCUGGGAAUCAUGCAGCAGCAGCAUUUGGUAGGAAUGGUUUAGUCUUGAGCCCUUCAAGAGGAAACUCUGAAAACAAGACGUAAAACGAGACAUUUAUGGAACCAAAGGAAUUAAAAAGUGCACCUCCUACACAUCCAUUCAGGUAAUACUCAUGAGGUCUGGACUGUUGGACUCAUUUUCCUUUGGAGACACCAAAGCUCAGAGUCCAAGUAACUUCCUGAGUUCUACCAGAAAGAGAGGUGAAGUCAGGCUUUGGAACCACAUAGGAUUGACUGCAAUGCCAUGCCUUCCCCUUGGUGGAAGGAAUGAUGAAUAUUAAGAGUGUAAGCCAAGAAAUCAUAAGAUAAAAGCAAAGUGGAAGGAAUAUAGACUUGGGAUUUUCAAACAAGAAGUAGAUCAUGACUUGAUAUUCUUUGGGGUAGAUAAGCAGGGUCAGAGAAAGUUCAGCAUGCAUCAGGGUGUUUGUAAAUUUUGUGAUUGCACUGCUAUAUCCUGGUCAAGAAGCAAAACAAACAAUCUAGUUUCCCCAAGCUUGCAAAGUAUUGCUAGGUCGCAGAAAACUCUCUAACAGGUUCCAUUCCUGCUAUGAUGUCUAUGUGGCAGUUUACCCCCGAUCAAUAAAUUCUGUAAGGACCAGAAAAGGAUUUUGCUCUUUUUGACCAUUCUGCAGGCUUUUGAUUUUUAUGUUGUCAAGACUUCUCGGAGGUUCUCAAAUGCCAGUAGUAAAAUCCUCCCCCAUAACUCUUUCCUAUGUUUUGGUCAAGCCCAUACCCAAGAAGAUGUCUUGCAUUGGGAAUAGAGGAUAUCAUCUCCCCAGAAGACAUAUGUGGAUGGAAAACUUAAGACAAAGAAUUUGCAGACAUUUUCACAAAAGGCCAUCUAGCAAAUAUUUUAGGGCUAUGGCUAUUUUGGAAGUUGUUCCAGUUUCAUUACAAUAAUUGAAAAAUAAGGAAAAGUUCUGAAACAUAGCUGUAAAAUUCAGUUGAAAUGACUUAGGAAAUGUACCAGAAAUUUAACAACAACUUGGAGGAGGCCCUUUGCAUACGUGACAUGGCUUAAAAACUCAAGCUGGGCUUAAAUUUUUCACUCUCCUGCUUACUUUGUGGAGUUGCUUAACCAAUCAGAACUCAAAAUGCUUUCUCAGCAGUAAAAUGGAAAUUAGAAUGCGUGGAUUCCAAUUAGAAUGAAUUAUCAGAGCUAGAGAAUUAAGCAAUGUAAUGCAUAUCAGAUGCUUAGCACUAUACCUGGCAUAAAGAAAGUACAGCACUUAACAUGCUAGUUUUCUGUAUUGAUUUAGUAUUGAUCAAUUUGUCAUUUAUGAAUGUAGUGACUGUAGCCAAUGAUGUAAAAAAAAAUAAUUAAAAACAUGAAUAUAGCAAGUUAAUUAAUAUAAGAGAAAGAAGCCAUGGAUCAGAUAAUUGAAAGACAUUAACAAAUUAACAGGGAUGUUUAGAAAUUUUUAUCAACAGAGGUGAAAUUGUUAAUAAAUGUUUGCUAAUUGAUGGGGAAAAUGAAAGCAUUUUGUCUCUUUUGGGAUCAUAGGGCUUUUACAAUGACACUGUAUCCUAUAACUUGAUGAAGUUAUCUUUAUUUUUUAAAUUAUAAAUAUGAAUACAUUACUUGCACCAAUUAAUGGGCUUCACUAGACCUUUCCAUACAUGGAUGUGUCCUGUAGUAAUUGUAUCCACCCUCCCUACCACCCUUUCUUCUUCGCCCUCCCUUCUUCUGUUUCCUUCUCCUGGCUCCUUUUCUUUUUCUUAGUAGUCUCUGCGCUCCUUUCAGGUUCCCUCCCUGCCUUCCUUCCUUCCUUGCCUCCUUCCUUUGUUCGUUGCUACACAGCACAUAGGAGAAUGGUGCUUGGCUUUCUGAGUCUGGCUGAUUUUGUUUA